Gallus gallus (chicken) is the source of this 6213-nucleotide long non-coding RNA. RefSeq lists it as uncharacterized. Lineage: Eukaryota; Metazoa; Chordata; Aves; Galliformes; Phasianidae. The record is from RefSeq and is a predicted model, not a curated record. The transcript has 2 exons.
AGUGUCAGCUCGGGUAACAAAAGCAACAACAGGGUCGAGGGAUUUCCUGUUUCAUAUUCAAGAUUUGAAGAGUGGGUGCGAAGAUUCAUCAGUGCCCUCUUACACAUCUGUGGCUGUCCUACAGCUCUAACACUCAGCAUGGACUGCAGUUACCCAAUUCUGGAACUUGGGAAGUCACAGCCCCUAACACAGCGGAGCAGUGGAGGAGGAACAACACUGCUGCCUUUUCAAUAAGAACAGCUGCAUGGCUCUCGAAGUAACAGAUUGAGUAAAGAAUACUUCAGCAAGUGCAUUAGGCACUGUUUUUUGUCACCAGCACUUAGCCAAUAAACUAAGUGGACUGAAGGAAUCCAGUAGUGUUCAUCUACCCAACCCCAGGGUGAGUUUUGUUGGCUCUCCUUUAGUAUCUUUCCCAAACUUCUCACCUGUUUAACUUCUUCAGCAUUUUGUUUUGCAGAAAUGAUUUUUUCUUCUAUGUUGCCCACAUUUUCUGAAUUUGUAGCAGCCUUUUGCUUAAGGUCUUCAACACUCCUCUCAAGCGCAAACAGACGUAAAGUGGCAUUGUUCAGUGUUUCUUCAGAUGCUGCAUUUUCAGAUUGAAUCUAACAGAGAUAGGGACAAUGAUACACUUUCAAAAGACUCUGAAUAUGAUACAAGCUUUCUGAGUGAGUUCUGAUCAACCCAUUAGGUCACAGCAAUAGAUCUGAUACUUAACGUGUUUCAUUUUGUUAAAAAUGUACAAUUGCAAUUGGGGUGAAAGAGCCCGCUGCUGUAAGGUGACCUACAGUGAGGUCUUCAGAAGUGUUAGGGAGCUUCAUUAAGAAAGCCUUGAUUGCAUUAUACGUUCGAAAGUUGCUCAAUCUGCAAACAGUCAUUAUCAAAGGAUAGCGCUAAAUGUCUGAAGUUGUCCAUCUCUUAAGCUGGCCAAACUGAAGGGGUAGAGUUAGCACUAUGGUCUCAUGAGAAUUAUGAGUUAAAGCCUGAAAAUACAUCAUCUGUCACAAUUACAGCAAUUACCACUUCUAUCUAUCAUCAGUUUUCUCCUGCUGCAGUGAAUGGCACUGCUAGAUAGCGCUGUUAUGCCAAUACACUGCUGCCAAGGGACUGAUAUGUAUGACUUCAUAGAGACCUUGGCACACCUGCUAUGAUCCUACUCAUGUAACUUCAGUGGUGCACGAUAUGGGGUGAGAAAAGCCUUUUUUCUUGAAGAGCAUGUAGGCCUCUAGUUAUGUCAUAUUCUGACUCAGAUGUUUAUAUAAUAAAGGCCAGAAUAGUUUAGACUCAUUUUAAGUGUAGCCUUCCUCAGACAUCCUUAUGUUGGUUUCUGAAUAUCAGAUGUAUUCCUGUUUCUGCAUCUUAAAGAGUACUUGGAAAUAACUUACUGAGGUCAGCAGGUCUUGAGUUCCUUUAAUAUCUUCAUCAGCUUGUUUUAUGGCUUUUUCAGCUGCAUCUUGAGCCUUUUCAGCUUCUUCUAGUGCUGCUUUCACCAUGUCUGCAGUGACUUUAACGUCUGUUGCACCUUUGCUGUGGAGCAAAACUAGGUUAGCAAUAAAAGUGCUUUUACUUUGCAAUGGUCAUACACUGCAAAGGGCUAUUUUUGCCUGAUAGUGAAGGAAAGGGGUAUCUGCUUUGUGGUAAGGUAAACUGCGUUCCCUGGAAGAGUGAAAUGGAAGUCUCAUUCCAGUUCUCAGUGACUGUAAAUACCUAAUACAAAAUGAGGUUGCAUACCUUGCUUUCUUAGCUUCCUCCAGUAGCAUUUCUGCUCUGGCAAUGUCUCCAGCACUCUGCUGCAGAAUGACCUCGACAUCAGAAAGGCUUUCCACGCGUUCACGGAUGUCUUCUGUUAGGGCUUGCAGCUGCUCGGGGGUGCUGGGCAUCUCCAUGUUCAGCACUUCAUUAGCCACUGCCUCAAUGCUGUCCAGGUCAGCGCUGUCUUCUACAGAUGGGCAGAAAUGACACAAGGGUGAGUCAAAGCUUUCUGCUGUCAGCUCUCAGUAUUCAACAUUCUUGUCCACCUGCUCCCUCAAGAAGCAAAAUCAUGGAAAAAACUUUCUUCUCCAGACUGCAGCACAUCAGGGUAUUAAAACUGUUUCCUUAGGGUGACACUUCUCUCUAAGGAGAGGCCCAGCAGGCACGAAAGCCCUGCUAGCAUCAUUCUCUUGGAAGCCUUUUGCUGAUCUCAGUGAUUAACUACCCCAUGCUGGGGCUGGGGUGGGCUGUGAGCCCAGAGGAAGGGAAGCCAACAGCUGCACAUAAAUGUAUUUGUGCUAACAGUAUUCUCAGAGAAGGAGUGGGUUUGCCAUGCUGCCACUCAACAACGAAAAGGGCCCUCAUUUAACCUUUACCUGUUUUCUUGCAUGGAGAUAACCUCACAGUUUCUAACUGUGAUUGUCCUCCCCUUUAACAGCACUGUGCCAUUCUGGCCAGAAUUUAGGAACAGACUUGGCAAGUUAGAGAAGUACAAUGGACCCAGCUGAAAGGAACGAAACAAUGGACUACAGAUCAGCCUUUCUUUCCAAUUGUCUUGGUUUUCUCAUUCCCAGAUUUCAUCAUACCCACUAAAUCUGGCUGAAAAGAGCCAGGGGAGGAUGAUGACUAUUAUGUUACCCCCUGGAGAAUGAUGCCAAAAAAGAGUUUUCACAGAUGCAGAGGUAAAAGAGAGAACGUGAGUUUAAGGUUUUUACGCAUGAGGAAGUCUCUGAUCUGCUUAAUAAGAUUUCUCAGAUCUUCAUUGCUUCUGUCCACUUGUUCUUUUGUAGCGUUGGUUUUGAGCAGAACUUCUUGUGCAUUCUGUUUGGCUUCAUCAGCUCUCUGCUUUGCUUCAGAAACCUGAAGAGAAGAAAGUAGAGGGCUUGACUGCAUAUUUGCGUAUGCUUUCAGGCCUGAUUUACAACAAAAAUUCAGUUGGAGUCAGAGGUAACAGUAAUGAGAAAUGCCUCUUCUCAUAAAACUCACAGAACACUUUUAAAAGCUGGCUGUGAUCCACACCACCAAUGCUAGUUUAAACAACUCCUGCUCAUGUUUGGAGUAACGCAUGAAACUUGACUUGAGCAAGCUGAAGUCUGAGUAUCUUCACAAGUUUGAUGUUACGCAACUAGAAAGGAGGAUUGUGAAGUAAGCCAGGCACAUACUUUGCCAGUUAGUGUCUAAACUUGGGUUACCACUAAGAUUUCUUUUUUCUUUUUUAUUGCAACAAUGGAUUUAUGGAUUACCAUUCUGGAGAGUUGCUCAACUUCUGCCAACGCACUGAGGAUGUCUCUGUCGAAGUCCAUGGCCUUCUGCCACGCGGUGUGAGCGACAGUGACCAGCCCAUCACAGCCAGGUCCUCCACACUUUCUCUGCCCUGCAGCAGUCCGGCAGUGCAGUCCUCCACACUCCGACUCAGCACAAGAGGCUCCCACUGGAGUGCCACACAUCUGGGAAUGAGACAAGGGCAGUGAUCACAGCCUGUAUUUUUAUUGCUGAGCUGUGAGGGGGAUGGCAUCCUAAAUACCACAGCACAACUUGAGACGUUUGACCAUCUUUAUGGGUCCCUCCCAACUUGGGAUAUUCGAUGAUAGCAAAUGAUGCUGAAGCAGAGCAGACGGUUCCUGCAUCAGGUCCAUACCAGCAUGAUGGUAGUCCUUCUAUGACCUUUCCACAACUCCCUGCCUUUAACUUGAUUGCAACAAGCCAGCUCCCAGCUGCUGGAGUAGCUUGAGGGCAGCUGUGCCUUCAUUGUCUGCUUUUCCUGACUGUCAGCUUCACCAGAAAGCUGCCUUUAGGCUCUGGUUUACAAGCUGGAAGCUACUACUGCCUGUAUUCCUUCUGUUGGAAGCCAGUCUUGUUACUGUUGGAGGAAACACUAGCUAACCCAAGCAGCUUUUUUAAAAAAGAAGAAUAUGUUCUGCACAAGAUAAGCUCUUUUCCUUUGCUGCCUGGGGGAGAGCAAAGGAAAACAAAUAAAAUACUGAACAGGAAACUUCUUCACCUCUCUUGAAAAACUGUCCCCUUCCCUUCCAUCGAAUGUUUGUUCUGUCACACUGCUUUCCAAUUUGUGACAAUGAAAUCGGAAGAGACCAACUUUGUUGCUGCUUUUUUUUUAAGUAAAACUACUUUAAUUGGCAAUUUUUACUGAGCUUAUCCACUGUUGUGGUCAACUGGACAAUGAAAUCAUUAGAAGUUGUUUUAGCCAGAUGGAAAAUCCUUUCCUCCUGUGAGGUUCUUUUCGCUUUCCACCCCGCUCCUUAUGCCAAAGGAUAGUCACUAGCUGAUGUACUUUAAGCCAAGAAUCUCUCUGGGAACACCAAGGGGCUGUGCCAAGUUAGCUGCAGCUGGCUCCUGUGAAGUGUAAUGGAUUCCCUCUUACCUGCUUGGCACACAACCCAGCAGUAGCUAGAAAGCAAAAAGAUUUUGUUUCUGCAUCCCAUGAUUACACCUCCAAGCAACUAACUCAGUGUUUACUGCUCUGAUAACAUCUAACCAAGAUUUUCGGUCCUCAAGAACACAUUAGGCAGGAAUGCAGGGGCAGGGAAACUAAACAAAAAGAUGCCUCUUUCUUCUCUCCCCAAGAAAAAGGAGACAGAGGACUGGGGUGGGUGGUUGUCAUUGUAAAGGACCGGGGACAAUUCACUGUGUGAAGACCUCAUCCUCUCCCGCAGGCCCAGCCUUGCCCAGAGGAGUUAAUGAGCUCUCCCUUCUGUGGAACUUCAAGUGGGAUUGUUCUCUGAAUGCAAUCGGCUGCCUUCAAAGGGAAGCUGAAGGAACACCCUGCCUCGCCCCCAGAGAAAACCACCCUUGAUCGUAUUUACAGAUGAGCAGGCAGCUUCAACAGGGACCGUGCCCUUUUGACUCCAGCUCCCUUUAAAUUCUGCCUUGUUUCAAGCAGAAGGAUGGGAGUGUGGCAAUACCAAGGAGGGCAGCGUGAGCAUGAGCGCCGCACAGGUAUGGGACUCUGAAAUGCUGCAAGAACAAAGCAGCCCAGGAAAAGCAAGCAUGUUAACUGAGAUUUAAGAGGUCGGCUCUCGGUCCAGUGGACUCACUAAAUUUUGCUGCACUUGAGAGCUCUGCCCACAGCAAAGGAAUUUGGCUUAGGAUGUGAUGAAGAGGUGCUGUCAGGGCUCAGUUUCUAGAAGCAACAGGGAGAACAACAUGAAGGGCUGAUGCCUGAAAACCUGUAGGUGUCUCGGAGCCCGCACAUCAUCAAUGAAGUGUGCUUUUUUGUAGGAACAAACUGUAUUUCCUACUGUCCAGCUCUAAACAGCUUCUCCCUGCCUGUUGCUUCUUCACAAACCCAACUUUUUGCUGUAGGUUUUAUCCCAGCAAUUCUCAGCCAAAUACCUUUGCUGAUGCUUCGGCGAGAUCCAGGCUCUGCAGCUUGCCAGCGAGUUCAUCCAGGAGGCGCGACUGCUCCUCUUGCUUAGCCUUGAACUGGGCCUCCUUCUCAUUGAUUAAGUCUUCCACUUCCUGCCGUGUCUGCGCUGACAGCUCCACGGCGCUGUCGGGGUGGACAGUGGAAGCAUUGACCCUUUCCUCUGCCUCCAGGGACAUCUGGAAAUACUUGGUGAUGCUGUCCAAGGCUCCUGCAGAAAUCAGACAGAGCCGCUCAGAAAUCUGUUAAGUAACACCGAGUAAUUUAAAUCGCGGAGGCUGGCGGAUGGCACAUCUGGGUUAGCAUCAAGACAAAGCAAACAACAGCCUCUUUAGCUGCACUCCAUGCAAUUGUAAGGAUGACAAAAUUUGUUCUGUUGUUUGAAUACUCAGGUUUUUUUUGGUUGAAAAUGUGUCAGGUUUGCUGGUUUUCAAGUUAAGCGGUUCUCUGACACAGGAACUGAAUUAACUCUGCCAGGAGGGUGAAUGGAGACUCAACCUUUUAGGUUCAUAGGGCAAAGUUCCAUUUUCUAAGGAUCUGCAUACGCCGUUGGUUCUUGUUGCCACAUGGAUGUCUGGUGUAUGGAGUCACUGCUUGGAAGCUGGUCAGAGCUCUCCCAAGAAACAACUUCCUGAUGAAAGACUGAUUUAUGGAAGUGCUCAUUUUGGACAACUGGUGGAGAGGCCCUGGGAGGGCGCAAGGGACCCCACAGGAGCAGCCACACUCUCCUCCACAAGUCAGGGACUCCCCAGUUCCUACAACCUUUUUGCCUCAUUCUGUGAAACCCUACAUUCAUUGGAAACAACCUCAGACUUCCUGCAAAGCAGGAAAUUAAUUAAUAAAUACUAUACUUUAAGUCGGAA